AGACAGCAGCCGCCGCGGUAAUACGUAGGUGGCAAGCGUUGUCCGGAAUUAUUGGGCGUAAAGCGCGCGCAGGCGGAUCAGUUAGUCUGUCUUAAAAGUUCGGGGCUUAACCCCGUGAUGGGAUGGAAACUGCCAAUCUAGAGUAUCGGAGAGGAAAGUGGAAUUCCUAGUGUAGCGGUGAAAUGCGUAGAUAUUAGGAAGAACACCAGUGGCGAAGGCGACUUUCUGGACGAAAACUGACGCUGAGGCGCGAAAGCCAGGGGAGCGAAUGGGAUUAGAGACCCCCGUAGUCCCUGUCUCUUAUACA
Molecule: ribosomal RNA, 307 nt
Filed under: uncultured bacterium
Lineage: Bacteria
Description: partial 16S ribosomal RNA
Rfam family: Bacterial small subunit ribosomal RNA
Source: RNAcentral